GUCUUGGUCUCCGUUGACUGGGAGCUGGCUCGACAUGAUUACCUCCUCCAAGCGCUCUCCACUAACAUUUCAGACCACGCGCCCUUGCAUCUCUCGGUUGCUGCUCACCAUUGGCCGAAAAAAAGAUUCCGGUUCGAGUCCUUUUGGCUCAAGAUUGACGGCUUCGAUCAGGCAGUUUGCGAGGCAUGGACCUGUGACCUCGCGAUUGUUGACCCGUUUAAAAGGUUGGACACUCUCUUCAGAAAUGCUGGUGCAGUGCUGCAAGCUUGGGGGCAAAAGAAAGUCGGUAACAUCAAGUUGCUCAUGUCCAUUGCCUCACUUGUGAUUUUCCGGUUUGAUCAAGCCAUGGAAGCUAGAGGCUUGUCGGAGCUUGAGAUUUGGUUGAGGAUAUCGUUGAAGCUAGCCUUGUUGGGGCUAGCGUCCUUGGAGCGCACCAUAGAAAGACAAAGGUCCAGGUUUAGAUGGUUGCAGGAAGGAGACGCAAACACCAAAUUCUUCCAGUCGGUGGCCAACAGAAGAAGGGCUAAAAACUUCAUCCCCCACAUCAGAGUUGGGGAAGAGACCAUCACUGAUCAGACG
Molecule: ribosomal RNA, 579 nt
Filed under: Triticum aestivum (bread wheat)
Lineage: Eukaryota; Viridiplantae; Streptophyta; Magnoliopsida; Poales; Poaceae
Description: partial small subunit ribosomal RNA
Source: RNAcentral